AGCCAAUGAAAUGUAAGCAGAAGUGACAUAUGCAGCAUGACCAGUGGAAGCUUCGAAGAGCUAUUGCCAAUUUCCACCCUCUCUCUGGAAACUGUCAUUAGGGUUAGGGAAACUGUCAUGAGAUCUGCAUAUUUUAGAUAGAGGCUGCUUGCCUUAUUUGGGCACCUAAUGAAAAAGACAUGGAGGCCAGGUGCGGUGGCUCAUGUCUGUAAUCCCAGCACUUUGGGAGGCCAAGGCGAGUGGAUCACCUGAGGUCAGGAGUUCGAGACCAGCCUGACCAACAUGGCAAAACCCCGUCUGUACUAAAAGUGCAAACACAAAGGGAACUGCGUGGCUUGUUUCUACCUGAACAUUGUCAAGUGAUUUCAUCCUUUGAAACACAGUUGUGAAGUGUGUCCAGCAGUCUGAGAACAAGAAGAAGAAGAAAAUCUAAUCCUUCAGGGUGUCUGUGUGCCAGCCCUGCUCUCAGCACUUCCCAUGUGGAACUCCUUUACUUCUCCUAACAACUCCAUGACAUGGGUUAGACUGUGAUUGUUCCCAUAUUGUUGGUAGGGAAACUGAGGCAUGCAGGUGUUACAGAGCUCUCUCAAGUGGCAAGCUUUCUGGGUGGUUACAGAGUGGCAGAGCUGGGGUAUCCCAUGAUGUCACCACACUGCUAUAUGGAAAAGAACAUUAAUCGAGCACCUACGUGCUUGAUUCUCUUAAUUCUGUGACUGAACUCUCAAAACACCCUGGACACAGAGGGAUUGAAAUGCAUAACAAUAGAGAUGAAACACGAAGAGUGAUAAAUGAAGAUUGAGUGUGCACACCUUCUGGAGGAGCCCUGAUUGAGUAUUUUAAAAUACUACUAAAGUCAUGCCGUGUGACUUCUGAAGCUAGCUCCUAAGAAGUCCUUGCAGCUUCUGCCUGCGACUCUUAGAACACUUGCUUUGAAGGAUGCCAGAUGCUGUCUUAAAAGUCUGAGCACUCUGAAACCAUCAUGCUGUGAGGAAGCCCAAGCUAACCACAUGGGCAAAAAAGAUGCCCUCUGACUGCCACCAUUUGAGACACUCUAAUUAAGAACUGCCUCAUUGAGCCCAUGAGGCCCUGUGAAUGAUAAUAAUAAAUUGUUUUUAACCAC
This 1120-nucleotide long non-coding RNA is filed under the name Homo sapiens (human). RNAcentral describes it as "long intergenic non-protein coding RNA 964". The record is from RNAcentral. Lineage: Eukaryota; Metazoa; Chordata; Mammalia; Primates; Hominidae.